UGGGAAACUGGGUCUAAUACCGGAUAUGACGCCUCAUCGCAUGGUAGGGGGUGGAAAGUUUUUGUGGUUUUGGAUGGACUCGCGGCCUAUCAGCUUGUUGGUGAGGUAAUGGCUCACCAAGGCGACGACGGGUAGCCGGCCUGAGAGGGUGACCGGCCACACUGGGACUGAGACACGGCCCAGACUCCUACGGGAGGCAGCAGUGGGGAAUAUUGCACAAUGGGCGAUAGCCUGAUGCAGCGACGCCGCGUGAGGGAUGACGGCCUUCGGGUUGUAAACCUCUUUCAGUAGGGAAGAAGCGAAAGUGACGGUACCUGCAGAAGAAGCGCCGGCUAACUACGUGCCAGCAGCCGCGGUAAUACGUAGGGCGCAAGCGUUAUCCGGAAUUAUUGGGCGUAAAGAGCUCGUAGGCGGUUUGUCGCGUCUGCCGUGAAAGUCCGGGGCUCAACUCCGGAUCUGCGGUGGGUACGGGCAGACUAGAGUGAUGUAGGGGAGACUGGAAUUCCUGGUGUAGCGGUGAAAUGCGCAGAUAUCAGGAGGAACACCGAUGGCGAAGGCAGGUCUCUGGGCAUUAACUGACGCUGAGGAGCGAAAGCAUGGGGAGCGAACAGGAUUAGAUACCCUGGUAGUCCAUGCCGUAAACGUUGGGCACUAGGUGUGGGGGACAUUCCACGUUUUCCGCGCCGUAGCUAACGCAUUAAGUGCCCCGCCUGGGGAGUACGGCCGCAAGGCUAAAACUCAAAGGAAUUGACGGGGGCCCGCACAAGCGGCGGAGCAUGCGGAUUAAUUCGAUGCAACGCGAAGAACCUUACCAAGGCUUGACAUGGACUGGAAAUACCUGGAAACAGGUGCCCCCGCUUGCGGCCGGUUCACAGGUGGUGCAUGGUUGUCGUCAGCUCGUGUCGUGAGAUGUUGGGUUAAGUCCCGCAACGAGCGCAACCCUCGUUCUAUGUUGCCAGCGCGUGAUGGCGGGGACUCAUAGGAGACUGCCGGGGUCAACUCGGAGGAAGGUGGGGACGACGUCAAAUCAUCAUGCCCCUUAUGUCUUGGGCUUCACGCAUGCUACAAUGGCCGGUACAAAGGGUUGCGAUACUGUGAGGUGGAGCUAAUCCCAAAAAGCCGGUCUCAGUUCGGAUUGGGGUCUGCAACUCGACCCCAUGAAGUCGGAGUCGCUAGUAAUCGCAGAUCAGCAACGCUGCGGUGAAUACGUUCCCGGGCCUUGUACACACCGCCCGUCAAGUCACGAAAGUUGGUAACACCCGAAGCCGGUGGCCUAAC
RNAcentral lists this ribosomal RNA (1278 nucleotides) under Pseudarthrobacter sulfonivorans. RNAcentral's name for it is "bacterial SSU rRNA". It matches the Rfam family "Bacterial small subunit ribosomal RNA", at positions 150 to 1439 of the family's 1533-position model. The record is from RNAcentral. Lineage: Bacteria; Bacillati; Actinomycetota; Actinomycetes; Micrococcales; Micrococcaceae.